This 21-nucleotide microRNA is filed under the name Medicago truncatula (barrel medic). RNAcentral describes it as "mtr-miR5561-3p". Lineage: Eukaryota; Viridiplantae; Streptophyta; Magnoliopsida; Fabales; Fabaceae. The record is from miRBase by way of RNAcentral.
GUCUAUCUCUCUCUAAAUGGA